Molecule: unclassified non-coding RNA, 311 nt
Filed under: Hevea brasiliensis (rubber tree)
Lineage: Eukaryota; Viridiplantae; Streptophyta; Magnoliopsida; Malpighiales; Euphorbiaceae
Source: RNAcentral
GUCCACAGUCAGAAAAGGUACUCUAAUUUGCUAAGCAAUAUAUAUAUAAUCUCUUAUCUAUCCUUAUCCAAAAAAAAAACUUUAUUAAGGAUUCAUCAAGCAAGAUGGGCUGAAAGUUGCAAAUAUACAAUAAGUGCCUUUUUCAUUCCUCCCUAACUUAUACUUCCAUUUCCCAACAUAUCAUUAACGUCAAGAAUUCUAGAUAGAGAGAUAGGAGAGGGAAAGAAAGAAAUUAGGUUUAUUUUUUUAUUUUUUUUUAGGUUCAACCCAUUUGGAACCCUUGAACUAGAAGAUUUAUUUUUCAAUUGUGG